Molecule: ribosomal RNA, 503 nt
Filed under: uncultured bacterium
Lineage: Bacteria
Description: bacterial SSU rRNA
Rfam family: Bacterial small subunit ribosomal RNA
Source: RNAcentral
GACGAACGCUGGCAGCGUGCCUAAUACAUGCAAGUCGAACGCACUCUCGUUUAGAUUGAAGGAGCUUGCUCCUGAUUGAUAAACAUUUGAGUGAGUGGCGGACGGGUGAGUAACACGUGGGUAACCUGCCCUAAAGUGGGGGAUAACAUUUGGAAACAGAUGCUAAUACCGCAUAAAACCUAACACCGCAUGGUGUAGGGUUGAAAGAUGGUUUCGGCUAUCACUUUAGGAUGGACCCGCGGUGCAUUAGUUAGUUGGUGAGGUAAAGGCUCACCAAGACCGUGAUGCAUAGCCGACCUGAGAGGGUAAUCGGCCACACUGGGACUGAGACACGGCCCAGACUCCUACGGGAGGCAGCAGUAGGGAAUCUUCCACAAUGGACGAAAGUCUGAUGGAGCAACGCCGCGUGAGUGAAGAAGGUUUUCGGAUCGUAUAACUCUGUUGUUGGAGAAGAAUGUAUCUGAUAGUAACUGAUCAGGUAGUGACGGUAUCCAACCAGAAAG